Molecule: ribosomal RNA, 442 nt
Filed under: Cyanobacteriota bacterium 1535_2RGII
Lineage: Bacteria; Bacillati; Cyanobacteriota
Description: bacterial SSU rRNA
Rfam family: Bacterial small subunit ribosomal RNA
Source: RNAcentral
CCUACGGGUGGCAGCAGUGGGGAAUUUUCCGCAAUGGGCGAAAGCCUGACGGAGCAAUACCGCGUGAGGGAAGACGGCUUUUGGGUUGUAAACCUCUUUUAUUGGGGAAGAAGAUCUGACGGUACCCAAUGAAUCAGCAUCGGCUAACUCCGUGCCAGCAGCCGCGGUAAUACGGAGGAUGCAAGCGUUAUCCGGAAUUAUUGGGCGUAAAGCGUCCGCAGGUGGUUGUACAAGUCUGCUGUUAAAGCGUCCAGCUUAACUGGAUACAGGCAGUGGAAACUGUGCGACUAGAGUUUGGGAGGGGUAACGGGAAUUCCCAGUGUAGCGGUGAAAUGCGUAGAUAUUGGGAAGAACACCAGCGGCGAAAGCGCGCUACUGGGCUGUAACUGACACUGAGGGACGAAAGCCAGGGGAGCGAAUGGGAUUAGAUACCCCAGUAGUC